RNAcentral lists this ribosomal RNA (411 nucleotides) under uncultured eukaryote. Its description in RNAcentral is "SSU rRNA". It matches the Rfam family "Eukaryotic small subunit ribosomal RNA", at positions 592 to 1005 of the family's 1831-position model. The record is from RNAcentral.
CAAUAGCGUAUAUUAAAGUUGUUGCGGUUAAAAAGCUCGUAGUUGGAUUUCUGUUGAGGACGACCGGUCCGCCCUCUGGGUGAGUAUCUGGCUCGGCCUUGGCAUCUUCUUGGAGAACGUAACUGCACUUGACUGUGUGGUGCGGUAUCCAGGACUUUUACUUUGAGGAAAUUAGAGUGUUUCAAGCAGGCGUACGCCUUGAAUACAUUAGCAUGGAAUAAUGAGAUAGGACCUUGGUUCUAUUUUGUGGUUUUCUAGAGCUGAGGUAAUGAUUAAUAGGGAUAUUGGGGGCAUUCGUAUUUAAUUGUCAGAGGUGAAAUUCUUGGAUUUAUUAAAGACGGACUACUGCGAAAAGCAUUUUGCCAAGGAUGUUUUCAUUGAUCAAGAACGAAAGUUAGGGGUAUCGAAGAU